GUCUGUCUCCUAAGCGCCCCACCAACAUGUGCUGUGGACGUCGCCUGAAUGAGCUGCUGGUCUCGGUGGGAGGGAAGAGAAGGCAAACAGGAAAUGGACCGCAUUGAAAUGCCAGCGUGUCGGGACGCGCCCACGGAGGCCCAGCGCAGCGUGUCCUCGGCGCUCAAAGGACGCUUCAGUCGGGGGAAGUUGGAAGCAGAAGCCGCGCUCUGAACAGGAAACGGUCGGCUGGGAUCGUAUUUACAGACUUUCCGCUUCCUGUCGUCAGCAGGGGGCUCGAGCUGCAAUGGGGCUCUGCUUCCAUCCGGCGUGCUUCCAAAGCCAGAGCGUGGAGGUCGUGCGUGCGCGGCAUGUCUGGACCUGUGGCUGCAGGUUGUGACUGAGCACCACACUGCAGCAUUUUUCGUCCUGACUUGAACUUGUCGGAAGUCGCCCUCACGACUUGGGAGCCGCGUCCACAAAGACGGCGCCAGGGAAGGACAGAGCGGCCCAACGACGGCGUUGGACCCACCCGCGAUGGGUGGAGAAGAGGGCCCGCCCUCCGCUUCAUCAACGGAUUCACUUCAACGCUUAAACGCACUCAACGGCCAACCAACGCUGCAAUGAAGCAGGAGAGUAAAUGUGAGGUUACUCGGAGCCCUCAGAAGCAUCUGAGCAGACAGGAGGAUAAAAACCCAUCUGCUGACGGGACGGACGCCACGCUGAGGUCAGCAGAUCAACGCCAGCUAACCGUCCCUCUCAGAACGCAGACCCAGUUCCUCACCGCUAACGUCUUCAGACAGGCCGGCUUUUUCCGGGGGGGGGGGUCAAUAUUCAUGACGGUACAUCACAGAAGCGUCGAUGAAACGAGAAGUUCCAGUAAACCAACUCCAUGGGGGGGGGGGGGGGCUGAUAUCCAGUCUGAUGAAGAAAAAGGUUUUCACACCUUAAAGCAGAACUGAAAAACGGCUUCACACUUCAGGGAACUAUUUGCGUUAUCAGGUUAUCUGCGGUCAUCUCUAUACAGGGAAACAGCUUUGCAUAUGAAAUGGAAACAUCUUUAUCUUGUAUUCUGGUGUUACUACUGGUGUACUAGUACUAGUGGUGUUACCACUAGUACUAGUACUAGUGCAGGACUCUUGGUGCACAAAGAAAAGCUUUAUGUUUCUGUAAGCAUCCGUUGUUUUACACAGUAUCCGGCUGUACAACAAGAGUCUGAGGGAGACGGAAUACUGUGACCCACAGAAGUGCUCAGGUCAGGGGGCCGGACCCCGACUCCCAUGAGCCUCAGCUGCCGUCGCCAUGGAGAAGGUGCAACUGUCAGAUGCACGUAAAACGGCUGGCGACGCUACGUUGGAAGUGAGAGCGCGUGAAGACUCUGCAGCUGCACGGCGCUCGUCUCCACAUCCGUGUGAUCUAAUGAGAAGCGACAGGCCUCCGUCUCCCAGAGAGACUUCCCAGAGCCGCCAACAAGGGGGGAACCGAGAGAGCGAAGACAGGCCUUAAAUGUGUAAUAAAUGAAUACUUGGCAAAUGUUGAGGGGGACAAAGACGGUGUGAAAGCGCCAUGUGAAAGAUGGCGAGUGAAUCGAUUAUUGAUCGGCGGGAUUUCAGAGCGCGUCACAUCAGACUGUCUUCCAUCAAUCCACAGGAGCGUGGAGCCAUCUGAGGCCUUGAUGAGUCCAUGCAGCGGAAAAGCUGCAGCAGCAGAAUACACGUGCAUACUUGCACAACCACGCUCUCCUAGUGUGUGUGUGUGUGUAAUAUAUCGGGGCAGUUAGUUAAAUCG
This is a long non-coding RNA of Gasterosteus aculeatus aculeatus (three-spined stickleback), 1767 nucleotides long. The record is from Ensembl. NCBI's taxonomy places the organism in Eukaryota, Metazoa, Chordata, Actinopteri, Perciformes, Gasterosteidae.